Salmo trutta (river trout) is the source of this 57-nucleotide small nuclear RNA. Its record names the gene U7. It matches the Rfam family "U7 small nuclear RNA". Rfam says of the family: Animal histone pre-mRNAs are spliced by a different mechanism than nuclear pre-mRNAs and self-splicing introns. This processing involves the U7 snRNP, which contains only one RNA species: U7. The 5' end of U7 RNA is thought to base-pair to a conserved spacer element downstream of the cleavage site in histone pre-mRNA. The record is from Ensembl. Lineage: Eukaryota; Metazoa; Chordata; Actinopteri; Salmoniformes; Salmonidae.
UAGAAAAUGUGCUCUUUUAGUAUUUGUCCAGUAGGUUUCCUCAAGGCCAAAGCCUCC